Molecule: long non-coding RNA, 594 nt
Organism: Nothoprocta perdicaria
Lineage: Eukaryota; Metazoa; Chordata; Aves; Tinamiformes; Tinamidae
Exons: 3
Source: RefSeq, a predicted model, not a curated record
UGUUGUAAUUUCUAAAACAAUCCUUACCUGUCUAUCAGUCCUGUGAAAGCAAAACUAGUGUUCUUUGGGAAUAAUAGUCUUCAGGAAAUUACAGCUCACCUCAUCUUGAAUGUGCGUAGAAGGAGUGAGAUUAGGAGGCACAAGGUAUUCUGACUAAGCUGGGUUCUGAUGCUGUUGGAGCUCCUGCAACAGGGCUGCUUCGCUGGAAAAACCCUUGUGUGUAUGGGRACCAUCACCUCCAUGUCACCUUUACUGAAGAUACUGUUGUUCCUGUAUGUCACUGUUUUCCUAUGCAAAAUGACUUGGCGUGUCCUUUAUCCUGCCCAGCUUCACUCUCUAUUACUCCAGUGGCUUCUUCCUUCAGUAGCAGCCAAGAAACUUUGAGUCAAGAUUCUACAGGAGCUCAAUUGCUGCGGGACUUGAUCCUUCCGCUGUCUCCUGGCCUGUGGUGCAUCAAYGUGUCCUUGUCUUCUGUGUUGCCAGCAAAUAUCUAGGAUUGAAUUGCUUCCUUCUCACUACAAGUGAGAAGCAACUGUAGACUUGGUGAGACCGUCUUAAAGAAAAAUGAAUGAACAAGCAAACAAACAGAACAGC